CCUACGGGGAGCAGCAGUGAGGAAUAUUGGUCAAUGGACGAGAGUCUGAACCAGCCAAGUAGCGUGAAGGAUGACUGCCCUAUGGGUUGUAAACUUCGGUUAUAGGGGAAUAAAAUGUUCCACGUGUGGGAUGUUGUAUGUACCAUAUGAAUAAGGAUCGGCUAACUCCGUGCCAGCAGCCGCGGUAAUACGGAGGGUCCGAGCGUUAUCCGGCUUUCUUGGGGUUAAAGGGAGCGUAGGUGGCUUGUUAAGUCAGUUGUGAAAGUUUGCGGCUCAACCGUAAAAUUGCAGUUGAAACUGGCAUUCUUUAGUACAGUAGAGGUAGGCUGCAUUCGUGGUGUAGCGGUG
RNAcentral lists this ribosomal RNA (348 nucleotides) under uncultured bacterium. RNAcentral describes it as "partial 16S ribosomal RNA". It matches the Rfam family "Bacterial small subunit ribosomal RNA", at positions 338 to 683 of the family's 1533-position model. The record is from RNAcentral.